RNAcentral lists this ribosomal RNA (490 nucleotides) under uncultured bacterium. Its description in RNAcentral is "partial 16S ribosomal RNA". It matches the Rfam family "Bacterial small subunit ribosomal RNA", at positions 29 to 507 of the family's 1533-position model. The record is from RNAcentral.
AGUGAACGCUGGCGGCAGGCCUAACACAUGCAAGUCGAACGGCAGCACAAGAGAGCUUGCUCUCUGGGUGGCGAGUGGCGGACGGGUGAGGAAUGCAUCGGAAUCUGCCCAUUUGUGGGGGAUAACCUCGGGAAACCGGGACUAAUACCGCAUACGACCUACGGGUGAAAGCAGGGGAUCUUCGGACCUUGCGCAGAUGGAUGAGCCGAUGCCGGAUUAGCUAGUUGGAGGGGUAAAGGCCCACCAAGGCGACGAUCCGUAGCUGGUCUGAGAGGAUGAUCAGCCACACUGGGACUGAGACACGGCCCAGACUCCUACGGGAGGCAGCAGAGGGGAAUAUUGGACAAUGGGCGCAAGCCUGAUCCAGCCAUGCCGCGUGUGUGAAGAAGGCCUUCGGGUUGUAAAGCACUUUUGUUGGGAAAGAAAAGCAGCCGGUUAAUACCCGGUUGUCAUGACGGUACCCAAAGAAUAAGCACCGGCUAACUUCGUG